AGCCGUUGGGGCGCCGGGGGCGGUGGAAGCCCCCCUCGCGGGGCCUGGCGGGCUGCGCCCCGUUUCUGCCGGUGCUCCGGUUGUGCCGGCCGCGAGGCAGGGGCUGCCGUUGCUGCGCCCCGCUUCCCCCGCCUUUGGUCGGCGGGCAGGUGGCCGCGGUGGGGGCAGGGCUGGGCCCGGGCUGGCGGGACCCUGCCGCGCCUCUGAGGGGAGCGCGGCCUGCCUCCGCCACCGCGGCCGCCGCCGAUGCUGCCCCGUGCCAGUCUUUGCCCUAAGUCAUGCACUUGAGCUGCUUUUGGCCCAGGACAGUGGGCAAUGAGAGUCGGAGCCAUCAGACCCAAGAGCUCUCCCCAGAGCAGCUCUCCAGCACAGAUUAGAAAGCAUUCCCUAAAGAUGGCGCUGCACUUGCGCUUUCAGAAACUGCUGAAUUUGUCUAUGUACUCUAGACACUCCAGGGCUUAUUCUCAAACGUGUUUCAUGGAAAUCAUAUUUUAAAGGCCUGUAAUACCAGCUUCACUUAAAGUGACGAUUCUUCUUUCUUGCUUCAGCUGCUUACCGUGACUACCACCAAGUUGCUAGGUGAUGGGGUCAAGCCAGCAAUUUCUCCAUUCCUUUGCAGCGUGCUGUCACUGAUGGGAAGAUGUGUGCCAAGGGGCUGGCAUCUAGCCAGGAUGUGCCUGGGUGCACCUGCGAUAGUGGCGGAGUCAGGUUGCACAAGAAUUCAGAACAUGGACACUGGAAUUUCCCAAUGAGAAUUUCCACAGGAGAGAGAAAAUUCCAUUCCUUCAGUUCUGAAACAGAUUUGUCAUUUGCAGCUGUAUACGAAUAUUUAUGUUACUUCCUACUGCUCAUACCCAGUCUGUGAAUCAGAUAUAGUCCCUUCAUUAACUAUAACUUACCUAGUUAUUUAUUCCUUUCAAUGUGACAAUCUCUCUUUAGUCUGUCUUUGCACCAGUUAAUACUCGUAUACACAUUGCCAAGCUGUCUUUUUACCUGGCUUCUUCCAUCUUCUAACUGUUAAAGCACAAAGUUUAUGUGAAUCUCUUCCAACUUUUCUCAUCAUUUACCUCUUCAAAACACUUUUUAUCAACAAUCCCAGCCUUGUUUCAAGAGGCUUUUCCCAAAAACAGCUAGGUAAACUCCUCAGAUGAAGACGAAUAUUUUCUCCUGUUGCAUCCCCAGUUAUUAGAUCUUCCCUAAUCCUUUUGCAUCCUUGUCUGCAGUAGCUCUUCUCCAACCGCAAUACCUAUUUUCCAAACAAACCUUGUGAACAGCAGCUAAGCCACAGACCUUGUAAAUUCCAAACAAACCCUGGAGCCACAAGCAAACAUAUAUGGCCGGCUUUCACCUCACUACAGGGAGUUACAUGAAAUCUUCUCUGUGGCUUCGCUUCCUAAAUCUUUUGCCAUUACUGUUUCAGUUUUCUUCCCUGUGCUUUCUGUUUUCCUGAAUGGUAGUAAUACAAAGUGAUAAAUGAGCCUUUAUGAGCCUACUUGUGAAAUGAGUAUUUUCAUUCAUUCAACAGUUAUUUUGUUAUUGCUUUUCUUAGAUAACUUUGUUUAUUUGGUUUACUUGGAUUUAGCAGUUUAAUAUUUUUUUAAUAACACCUUGUUAUGUAGGAUAGCAGCAUUUAAGGAUCUUGUACAAUAACUGAAGUUAUCCUUCUUGCAAGGUCAACAAGGCUAUUUUGUUUGAAGGCUAUUUUAACCCAAAUGUUUUGGGCUAAAAAGCUCAAUUUUAUGUUGCACAAGAACCUGCCUGAUAGUUCCAGGAAAAUGCACAGUCUGUGUUAGAUGAUGUUAAUUCAGAUGUUUAAAGAUAUAAAUCAAAUUGUUUCAGGGUGAUCUAGAGAGUAAUCUUGCAAGGAAAGUUAGCAUUCCUCGUUGUGGCACCCUGACACACAAAACUCACACAAAUAAAGAACAAGAGAACAAGAACAAAGUGCUCAAAGUUAAGGUCAUGUGAUCUAACCUCAUUACAUCAAUUAUAAUCCCAUUAAAUCAAAGGUCAAAUUGAAAGGAUUAUGAAAAUGUAUUAACUUUUUCUGGUAAUAUAACUUUGGACUCAAAGCUUAUUUUUCAUAAUUUUCAUCUCUCAGUUCUCUGUUCAAAAGUAAGUUUGUAAGUAUACUGAAGUUGCAGCCAUGGGAGAGUACUAUGCAACAAGAAGGUUUUGUGAACCAGUUUUCUUUCACAGAUGCAAUGAAAUAAUAAAAUAUCAGAUAUGGUCUUGUAUUCCACACUUCCAGCAUUCCUCCAGUAUGUUUCCUAGGCUCUGAUAUUUUGCAGAAUCAUUUUCUUUUAUCUUCAAUUAAAGUAACACAUCACCCCUAUGUUCCAAGUUUCAGUCAUAUUUAACUUUUGUGGCUAAGACUGCUUUUUUUUGGUUUGAUGUAGAUCCAGAUGUCAUUUUUUAUAAAAAAAGCCACAAUUACUAGUUUAGAAAAGAUUACCUCCAUGGAAGGAAAGGCAUCAUUUUCUAGUCUGGUUAAUUGUGAAUCUAUACAUCAUUAGCAGUGCCCCUUCUAGAACUAACCCAUACAACUCCAUUCACAGGCUCGUACAGAAGUGGAAGGAAAACCUAGCUUUCAUGAAGAGAUUCACCCAAGGAUCACAUGUUGUUUUAACAGUACAGGUAACCCAAAAUAAAAUCAUUCCUAUCAGUAAUAGUUAAAACAAGAAUAUGAAGAAAUGUUUGGGAGGAGUUCUGCUUUUGAAAUAUUCAUGUUAAAAGUUUAAAAGUUACUUCUACUAGUAGAAGUCAUUCACUGACUGUUAUAUAUCCAUAUCUCAAUACCUAUAAAGUUGCUAAAUUCUGCACCCAAUUGUAUCAUCCAAUUUUAUUAAGUCAAGAGACAGAAAUAUUUAAUAAAAUGCUCAUGUUACAUGCCAUAAUAUUUUUGGAAAGAAAAUAUCUUAAAGUGUGCUUUUUUAAGUUUUAAACUCAGCAAAUAAAAUAUUUCUACUGAAGAAUUUGUGAGGAGUUUUCUCACAACAAAAGGACAGUUAAUGAAAGCCAAAACAUUGGAACAUACCACCUUCCAUGGAAUUUUUGUCGGAAGAUGUUCCUGAACAUCAGAAUACAAUUUCAGAGGAUUUCUAUCCAUAUAUCCCUUAUCUUAGGUGAAUGUCUAACAAUAGGCAUCUUUUAGACAUCUGUUCUUGUGGGGUCUUUUACUGAUGUUAGUAAAAGAGAGACUUGUGCAAUUAUAUGGAGGGAUAAUCCCGCCACCUAAUUUGAGGCUUUCUUUCAUAAUGAACAGAGAGAAAGAAACACUUAAUGUAGAUGCGACGGAUUCUUCUGAUGUUAUAAAGAGCCUCAGUUAAUUAUAAUGUGUGAUUACUUUCCGUGUUAUCAGAGGUACAUGAAAUAUCCAGAAGCACAAAUAAUCAUUACUGUGGGAAAACGUUCUUUAUCUGAACCAGUGCUGUCAUUGCAUAUUGAAAGGACUGCAUCUGUGUCAUGGAUAUCACUUUGUAUAAAAAUAAUACCCCAUAACAUAGUGUGUUAUUGCAGACAAGACAGUAUCUUGGUCUAGAUCAUGUACAGAUUCCUUUUAAAUGGUGCAUGCAUAGUGCUUUGAAAUCUACAUCAGAAGGAUAACAUGCAAGUAAAAAGUAUUUUUAUUACUGUAGAAGGAGAGAUUGAUAAGAGAAGUUGAUAAAACAGUAGCCUUACUAUUCAGGUGUCAUAGGAAUUAUUUCACUGUAACCUGUACAUGUUAAAAAUAAAUGCAAAAGGAGAUGUAAUCACUACUAGCUAAGAUAAAACAAUAUUUUUGCAGAAAUCAGAAUAUAAA
Dromaius novaehollandiae (emu) is the source of this 3799-nucleotide long non-coding RNA. RefSeq lists it as uncharacterized. The transcript has 3 exons. Lineage: Eukaryota; Metazoa; Chordata; Aves; Casuariiformes; Dromaiidae. The record is from RefSeq and is a predicted model, not a curated record.